GGGACACCGAGGCCUGGGCCGGGCCCUGUCCCCAGCAGCAGCACCUCCUCACAGAGCACCCGACACUGUGGUCACCUCGCGUGUAAACCUCUCCAGGCUCCAUUGCUCCCAGGGUGAGGCCAGGCUCCCCAGCCGUGGCCCUGCCCGGUGUCCAGGUGACCUGGGACAAGGUGGCUUUGCACACGCUGCUCUGUCUCUGUCCCCUGCACCCUUCCCUCCUCCCCCCGCCUCCGUUUCUACCUGGAGCAGGUGGGCUCUGCUCCUCCCCUUCACCUGGGUGCAGGUGGAUCCUUCAAACCUCACCUCCCAGCUCCCUGGAUGCCCAGAGGGGACCGAGGGACAAGCCCCCACACCUGUCUGUCUGUCUCUCUCCUCCCUCCCUCCUUCCCCACCUCAGGCAGCGUCUGCUUGGUGAAUCCUCAUGUCUGUGGUCCCAGCUUAGGAGCCGGCUCCUCUUCCUCUGUCCAGCCCACCCAGGGCGGCAGCAGCUUUGUGUCAUUCUUUCACCUUUUCAUCCUAGGCACUUGAAUCCAGGACCUUUGCACUGAGUUACAUCUACAGCCCUUUUUUAUUUGGAGACAGGGUCUCAUGAGUCACUAAGUUGCCCAGGCUGGGCUUGAGUCAGUGAUCCUCCUGCCUCAGCCUCCCAGAGUGCUGGGAUCACAGGUGUGCACCACCAUGCCAGCUUCCCACCCUCUUUUUUUUUUUUUUUGUACCGCGGAUCGAACUCAGGACCUUAUGCUUGUAAGGCAGGUGGUGGAACCACUGAGCUAAAUCCCUGGCCCAUUCCCACCCUUCUUAACUUUGAUUUGGCCCCACUUCCCAUUUUCUCCUUUUGCGCGUUGUCACUUCCCCCCCAGUCCUCUGGCUCACCCCCUUCCACUUCAGCCCAGUCCCUGUCCAGCCUUGCAGCCACUGAUCCCACAGGGGCUUCUGGCCCGAGGCUGACUCAGGACCCAGGGGACAGGCCGGGUGUUUGUUCCCCUGCAUACUAACUGCUGCUUGUGCUUAUGCAUUCAUGAGUGUGGUCACCUGCUCCACCCACCUCCCCACACCUGCAAGUCCCUGAGGGUGGGGGCCCAGCCUUCAUUGGGUGCUGGCACCUGGGAGGGGACCUCAGCUGAUGCCAGCCAGGGAGUAGGAGCACGGGGAGGACCUUGCUCCAGGCCUCUCUUCCCUUCUCCCUGAGGUGACUGAGUACACUGCUCAGAGAAGCUCCCCAUUCAUUCAUUGCACUGAGAUUCUUCAGCGUCUGGUGGCACCAGAUGGGCAGAUGGUGGCGGCCGGGAGUGAGGAUGACGGUGGGCAGAUGGAUGGAAAGAUAGGUGGCUGGCUUGUGCAGCUCUAGAGGUGCAGAUAAGGGAUCGAGCCGCAAAUGACAAUGUGGGCCCGAAGGAG
RNAcentral lists this long non-coding RNA (1398 nucleotides) under Heterocephalus glaber (naked mole-rat). RNAcentral describes it as "lncRNA (ENSHGLG00000037868.1)". The record is from RNAcentral. Lineage: Eukaryota; Metazoa; Chordata; Mammalia; Rodentia; Bathyergidae.